This 208-nucleotide long non-coding RNA is filed under the name Olea europaea (common olive). Its description in RNAcentral is "long non-coding RNA (OEUR_LNC011406)". Lineage: Eukaryota; Viridiplantae; Streptophyta; Magnoliopsida; Lamiales; Oleaceae. The record is from RNAcentral.
UCAAAUAGCUGCGGGCAUGAGAGACAUCGCAGCUCAGAAUAUGGCGAUGCAUGAACUUUUCAUGCAAGCCAGAAGGUUACUAGGGCUCUCAAAUGCCCUAAGGAUCUUACCCAGUGCAGGAAGUCCCAGUAUCUAGGGAUGUAAACGAGCCGGGCCGAGUCGGCUCGCGAGCCUAAAAUUUCGGCUCGGGCUCGGCCCGGUUAAAAAU